This 497-nucleotide ribosomal RNA is filed under the name uncultured bacterium. RNAcentral describes it as "partial 16S ribosomal RNA". It matches the Rfam family "Bacterial small subunit ribosomal RNA", at positions 28 to 507 of the family's 1533-position model. The record is from RNAcentral.
GAUGAACGCUGGCGGCGUGCCUAAUACAUGCAAGUCGAGCGAACAGACGAGGAGCUUGCUCCUCUGACGUUAGCGGCGGACGGGUGAGUAACACGUGGAUAACCUACCUAUAAGACUGGGAUAACUUCGGGAAACCGGAGCUAAUACCGGAUAAUAUAUUGAACCGCAUGGUUCAAUAGUGAAAGACGGUUUUGCUGUCACUUAUAGAUGGAUCCGCGCCGCAUUAGCUAGUUGGUAAGGUAACGGCUUACCAAGGCGACGAUGCGUAGCCGACCUGAGAGGGUGAGCGGCCACACUGGAACUGAGACACGGUCCAGACUCCUACGGGAGGCAGCAGUAGGGAAUCUUCCGCAAUGGGCGAAAGCCCGACGGAGCAACGCCGCGUGAGUGAUGAAGGUCUUCGGAUCGUAAAACUCUGUUAUUAGGGAAGAACAAAUGUGUAAGUAACUAUGCACGUCUUGACGGUACCUAAUCAGAAAGCCACGGCUAACUACGUG